Molecule: non-coding RNA, 112 nt
Filed under: bovine gut metagenome
Description: FMN riboswitch (RFN element)
Rfam family: FMN riboswitch aptamer (RFN element)
About the family: The RFN element is a highly conserved domain that is found frequently in the 5'-untranslated regions of prokaryotic mRNAs that encode for flavin mononucleotide (FMN) biosynthesis and transport proteins. This element is a metabolite-dependent riboswitch that directly binds FMN in the absence of proteins.
Source: RNAcentral
UUCUUCGGGGCAGGGUGAAAUUCCCUACCGGCGGUAAAGUCCGCGAACCGCGAAAUGCGGCCGAUUCGGUGCAAUUCCGAAACCGACAGUACAGUCUGGAUGAGAGAGGAGG